GACGAACCGUGCGAACGUUGUUCGGAAUCACUGGGCUUAAAGGGCGCGUAGGCGGGACGGCGAGUCUGUGGUGAAAUACCUCGGCUUAACCGAGGAACAGCCGUGGAUACUGCCGGCCUCGAGGAGGGUAGGGGCAUCUGGAACGAGCGGUGGAGCGGUGAAAUGCGUUGAUAUCGCUCGGAACUCCGGUGGCGAAGGCGAGGUGCUGGACCCUUUCUGACGCUGAGGCGCGAAAGCCAGGGGAGCAAACGGG
This 253-nucleotide ribosomal RNA is filed under the name uncultured Zavarzinella sp. RNAcentral's name for it is "partial 16S ribosomal RNA". It matches the Rfam family "Bacterial small subunit ribosomal RNA", at positions 524 to 776 of the family's 1533-position model. Lineage: Bacteria; Pseudomonadati; Planctomycetota; Planctomycetia; Gemmatales; Gemmataceae. The record is from RNAcentral.